Physcomitrium patens is the source of this 1871-nucleotide non-coding RNA. The record is from RefSeq and is a predicted model, not a curated record. Lineage: Eukaryota; Viridiplantae; Streptophyta; Bryopsida; Funariales; Funariaceae.
CUCCUCCGAUUCCAAGCCAGUCUUCUCAAAUCAGCUCUGCCUAAUCGCCCGAGUCGAUUGAUUGAUUGAUUGAUCGAUUGAUCGAUCCAUCGAUCCAUCGAUUUUUAACAGAUUCGCGCGGCCGCAUCAUUGGCACUUGAAGUGUGCUAAUCCUCUUGUCGAUUGCAGCUGGAAUUUCUCGUUUUAGUGAUGGAUCGCAUUUAGGGCUUCCUCUUUUAUCGUGUUUUGCGGAGUCUAGGUAUUGUGCUUGAGGAUUAAGGUUUUUGGGCUGCAUCGGGUGUGGAUUUUGAAGCUUGACGGGUUUUGUUUCUGCGGCAGUGUUGAGAGUGGUCGUGGUGGUGAUUAUAGGAAUUGAGUCGGUGACUAGGUUACAGGUUUGUGUGAGCAGACAGUCUAUAACCAUGUGGGGAAGAAGUAGUCAGGACAAGCUUAUGGACCAGAUUUUUCAGUUGAAGUUUACGUCGAAGAGUCUGGUGCGGGCGGCGAAGAAGUGCGAGAAAGAGGAGAAGGGUGAGAAAUUGAAGGUGAAGAAGGCGAUCGAGAAGGGGAAUAUGGAUGGUGCCCGGAUUUAUGCCCAAAACGCCAUUAGGAAACACAAUGAGCAGCUCAAUUACUUACGUCUCUCUUCGCGGCUGGAUGCGGUUGUUGCCCGGCUUGGAACGCAAAGCAAGAUGCAGACCAUAUCCAAAUCUAUGGCCGGAAUUGUGAAGUCGCUGGACAGUGCCCUCGCUGUCGGCAACAUGGAGAAAAUUUCUCAAACAAUGGACCAGUUUGAGAAGACUUUCGUGAACAUGGAGGUGCAGUCUGAGUUUAUUGAAACCGCCAUGGCUGGUAGUACCAGCUUGUCGACUCCGGAGGACGAGGUCAAUUCUCUUCUACACCAAGUCGCUGACGAUUACGGUCUUGAAGUUUCUGUCAAUCUUCCACAAGCAGGUGCCACAGCCAUGCCUGUGAAGGAGACUGCAACGGUAAAUGCUGAAGACGACUUGAGUCGAAGGCUAGCAGAGCUCAAGAACAGGAACUAGCCUGCUGCUGUUAUCUCGCUCUCUAGUUGCUCGAGCCAGCAAAGCCUUGUCCACGAGAAAUCUGAAAGCCAACGGAUUCCUCAUCAGAAUCAGCUAAUCAAGGCGAAGCUAGCCACCCUCAUUUCAUGAAAGUUCGUGGACAAGGAAGCAAUCAACUUGUCAGAGCGAGCCACUCCCAAACACCGACACUGGACUGUUCAGCAACCCGGGCAUCUACGAAUUCGGUUUCUUUGGAGUAACGCAGAGGUCCAUCUGCGCAGAAGCUGCGAGCCUGCUCAGCCUUCGGAACAAAUCAAACCGUGGAAUGCGGGUGAGCAUCUACACAACGUUCUAUCACAGCAGAUUCAGUCACUCAACGAUACUUGAUGAGCGUAACCUUCUUGGUUAAGAACCCAAGUCACUGGAAACAUUGCUGGCGCUGUUCUUUUUCCGGCUCACAUGGAGCUUGUGCUGCUAUUGCAGCUUCAACUACUGUUCACGCUUUCAGCCACUUGAACAUUCCACUAGGCGAUGAGCCGAUAAACAAAAUGUGAAUAUCAGAUGUACCCAAUUGGCAGUGGCGCCGUGGGUUCCAUACAAAGAGGCCGAGAUCGGCGCAGCACGGGCAUCGUUCAGCCACAAGCUUAAGCCACCAUUAUGAAGCUUUAGUAUAUUUACUAGUUUGACAUGAGGUUUUGGAAAUCUGGCAUUCUUUUUUUCUUUUCUUUUCUUUUUUCUUACAACCGUGGUUUAUCUGAUGCAUUGAUUUGUGUUGAAAAACGUGUUUUUGUUAAAAACAAUGGCGUACAAUGCCAUAAAAUAGUAAUUUUUUGAAGAAUAAACUUCCAACAAUGAACUACAAACAAA